GAAAGGAGGAAUCCAGUGGCGGCUGGGCAUGCGGCGCAUUAGCUUGACGGCGGGGUAACGGCCCACCGUGGCGACGAUGCGUAGGGGUUCUGAGAGGAAGGCCCCCCACACUGGAACUGAGACACGGUCCAGACUCCUACGGGAGGCAGCAGUGAGGAAUAUUGGUCAAUGGGCGGAAGCCUGAACCAGCCAAGUCGCGUGAGGGAAUAAGGCCCUACGGGUCGUAAACCUCUUUUGCCGGGGAGCAAGGGCCGGGACGCGUCCCGGCCCGGAGAGUACCCGGAGAAAAAGCAUCGGCUAACUCCGUGCCAGCAGCCGCGGUAAUACGGAGGAUGCGAGCGUUAUCCGGAUUUAUUGGGUUUAAAGGGUGCGUAGGCGGGCUUUUAAGUCAGCGGUAAAAAUUCGGGGCUCAACCCCGUCCGGCCGUUGAAACUGGGGGCCUUGAGUGGGCGAGAAGAAGGCGGAAUGCGUGGUGUAGCGGUGAAAUGCAUAGAUAUCACGCAGAACCCCGAUUGCGAAGGCAGCCUUCCGGCGCCCUACUGACGCUGAGGCACGAAAGUGCGGGGAUCGAACAGGAUUAGAUACCCUGGUAGUCCGCACAGUAAACGAUGGAUGCCAGCUGUCCGGGCCGAAUGGGGCCUGG
This 643-nucleotide ribosomal RNA is filed under the name uncultured bacterium. RNAcentral describes it as "bacterial SSU rRNA". It matches the Rfam family "Bacterial small subunit ribosomal RNA", at positions 202 to 842 of the family's 1533-position model. The record is from RNAcentral.